Molecule: ribosomal RNA, 549 nt
Filed under: Alternaria alternata
Lineage: Eukaryota; Fungi; Ascomycota; Dothideomycetes; Pleosporales; Pleosporaceae
Description: eukaryotic LSU rRNA
Rfam family: 5.8S ribosomal RNA (bases 184-337)
Source: RNAcentral
ACUGCGGAGGGAUCAUUACACAAAUAUGAAGGCGGGCUGGAACCUCUCGGGGUUACAGCCUUGCUGAAUUAUUCACCCUUGUCUUUUGCGUACUUCUUGUUUCCUUGGUGGGUUCGCCCACCACUAGGACAAACAUAAACCUUUUGUAAUUGCAAUCAGCGUCAGUAACAAAUUAAUAAUUACAACUUUCAACAACGGAUCUCUUGGUUCUGGCAUCGAUGAAGAACGCAGCGAAAUGCGAUAAGUAGUGUGAAUUGCAGAAUUCAGUGAAUCAUCGAAUCUUUGAACGCACAUUGCGCCCUUUGGUAUUCCAAAGGGCAUGCCUGUUCGAGCGUCAUUUGUACCCUCAAGCUUUGCUUGGUGUUGGGCGUCUUGUCUCUAGCUUUGCUGGAGACUCGCCUUAAAGUAAUUGGCAGCCGGCCUACUGGUUUCGGAGCGCAGCACAAGUCGCACUCUCUAUCAGCAAAGGUCUAGCAUCCAUUAAGCCUUUUUUUCAACUUUUGACCUCGGAUCAGGUAGGGAUACCCGCUGAACUUAAGCAUAUCAAUA